RNAcentral lists this long non-coding RNA (1901 nucleotides) under Mus spicilegus (steppe mouse). RNAcentral describes it as "lncRNA (ENSMSIG00000012440.1)". The record is from RNAcentral. Lineage: Eukaryota; Metazoa; Chordata; Mammalia; Rodentia; Muridae.
GUUGCGUCUGGGUGAAGACUGGCUGAAGGGACUGAGGAAUCUCCUGCGGCAGCCAACUCUGCACAUCCCAGAAAAAGCUCCUGAAACAAACGGUCCCUGGAGUCUCUGAGAUGGCAAACACAGUGCGUGGUUUCAGUCCUGUCUAGCGGUGCAGAUCUUGCUGAGAUUCAUUGUUGACCCAUAAAGCUUCUAAAACUUAGAACGUGUGUCUGAUUAUACAAACGUUAGAAAGCUAUCCUGCUGGUGGUGCUGAUUGGUCAAGGGCUUACCCGGCGGGCACAAGGCCCUGUGUUCAGCUUCCAGUACAGCAUAAACUGAGCGUGGUGGUACACUAGUCCCAACUCUUAGGGGGUAGAGGCAUGAGGCCAUUAGCUACAGCAAGUUCAAAGUCAACCUGGGCUACAUGAGCCCUUGUCUUUGAGAGAGAGAGAGAGAGAGAGAGAGAGAGAGAGGAGAAGGAAGGAAGGAAGCAAGCAAGCUCAUUUGUAAAAAAUAACAAAACAACAAACACAGAAUGUAUAUGGAUAGCCCUCGUGACAAUGGCUUUACUGCUGGUUUCUGCCUAGGCUUUUACACACUCACCCACACCAAUAACUACAUCUCGCCUCCAGCUGUAUCUUGCUUUUCUCAUCUGACUCUAUCUGGGCACAACUCCUGAGUGUUUUCUUUAGGAUAGAAGUGCUUUUGUGUGGAUGAGCAUGACAGGUCUGUCUUGGGAAGCCUGGGUCUUGCGACGUCCUGGAGUCAGCAUUUAGAAUAUUAAUUUCCACUGCUCGUGUUAAAGGGGUGGGUGACCUGGCUGAAAAUGACGUCUCAGCAGAACUCACGUUUCGGGUUGAGUAUCUUUUAAUCUACCGGUUAACAAACCGUUUCUCAUCCUAAUGGGGCGCUCUGUCCCCUGUCUCUGGGAGAGGGAGAGGGAGAGGGGAGAGAGAGGGAGAGGGGAGAGAGAGGGAGAGGAGAGAGAGAGGGAGAGGGAGAGGAGAGAGAGAGGGAGAGGGAGAGAGAAUCCCAUUUAAUUCACAUUUUAAUUCCCUUUCUUUUCCCCUGGUUUCCCUGGCCUUAUGUAGUGCAGGUUGGCCUGAAGCCCACACUCCUCCCGCUUCUUCCUGUCAAGCGCUGAGGUUCCAGACGUGGACCAUCAAGCCCAGCUCGGGCUUUCCUUCAAGGUUGGAAAGCACAGGGGAUUCAGCACACAGUGGCAGAGAGAUGGUCACCGCAAGCCUUCAAGCAGGUGAAAUAAAAACUCUGCUUCCCAGCACGCAGAGGAGAGAUCGGCCUUGAAUGAAGCAAGCUUGGUACGCCCAGCUCCUACCUUCUCCAGCAAGUCCCCACUUCUAACUUUUGCACUAAAUCUCAACCUUUAAUAAGAAGCAGCUCUUGGUAUCAGCAAUAGUUCUGGAUCCUCCUCUGCCCGCUGUCAGGUUUGUGGGUUUUAUUUUUGUGUGUGUAAUUGGAAAAUUCCCUCGUGGGACUGGGGAGGAACAUUAAUGUCACUAUAGAGAUGGGCUCUUGGUCCAACCUAUAGGAUUGGGCAAGCUUCCGAAAGUGAAGCCCAUCAAAGAGGUGAGGGUCAGCUGGGCAAUUUCCAGCGUCAUUUUGGUGGGACUUUGGUCUUUGUUCUGUGCUAUUAGGGGAGGGUAACUGCCUGGGCACGAUGAGGCCUCAGCCAGCAACGGGAAGCAUAAAACACAUUUAUGACCCCUGCAGUGUUAGAGCCGGUGGCUGCCUGUGAGAUCCAGGACCAGGACUGGUUUGGCCUUAUUUGAGAGGCAUUGCUACAACUCCUAAAGUCCCGUCAGGGAUGUCCCUCCUCCUACAUCUUACCUCUCUCUCGUCCCAUUAUCUUCUCCAAAGAUGGGGGAAAGAUUAUUCGGAUUAUAUUCAAAAUAUACACGAAC